AAAAGGAAGUGAUUCCGGCGGAGGAUGGGCAUGCGGCGCAUUAGCUGGUUGGCGGGGUAACGGCCCACCAAGGCGACGAUGCGUAGGGGUUCUGAGAGGAAGGUCCCCCACACUGGUACUGAGACACGGACCAGACUCCUACGGGAGGCAGCAGUGAGGAAUAUUGGUCAAUGGGCGGGAGCCUGAACCAGCCAAGUCGCGUGAGGGAAGACGGUCCUAUGGAUUGUAAACCUCUUUAGGCGGGGAGCAAUGCCGGGCACGCGUGCCCGGAGGGAGAGUACCCGCAGAAUAAGCAUCGGCUAACUCCGUGCCAGCAGCCGCGGUAAUACGGAGGAUGCGAGCGUUAUCCGGAUUUAUUGGGUUUAAAGGGUGCGUAGGCGGAUUUUUAAGUCAGCGGUAAAAUGUCCGGGCUCAACCCGGGCCGGCCGUUGAAACUGGGGAUCUUGAGUGGGCGAGAAGUAUGCGGAAUGCGUGGUGUAGCGGUGAAAUGCAUAGAUAUCACGCAGAACUCCGAUUGCGAAGGCAGCAUACCGGCGCCCGACUGACGCUGAGGCACGAAAGCGUGGGGAUCGAACAGGAUUAGAUACCCUGGUAGUCCACGCAGUAAACGAUGAAUGCUAGUUGUCCGGUUCUU
Molecule: ribosomal RNA, 634 nt
Filed under: uncultured bacterium
Lineage: Bacteria
Description: bacterial SSU rRNA
Rfam family: Bacterial small subunit ribosomal RNA
Source: RNAcentral